CCCUUAGUUGUUCUGGGCCGCACGCGUGCUACACUGAGUGGAUCAGCGGGUCAGGUUGCGCGAAAGCGUUUCCUAAUCUUUAAAUCCGCUCGUGAUGGGGAUUGACGGUUGCAAUUUUCUGUCAUGAACGAGGAAUACCUUGUAAGCGCGGGUCAUCAUCCCGCGCUGAAUACGUCCCUGCCCUUUGUACACACCGCCCGUCGCUCCUACCGAUUGAGUGGUCCGGUGAGGCUUUGGGAUCUGAGCGGAAAGAGCGUUUCGCUGUUUCUGCUCGGAAAACUCAGUCGAACCUUAUCAUUUAGAGGAAGGAGAAGUCGUAACA
RNAcentral lists this ribosomal RNA (322 nucleotides) under uncultured eukaryote. RNAcentral's name for it is "partial 18S ribosomal RNA". It matches the Rfam family "Eukaryotic small subunit ribosomal RNA", at positions 1470 to 1796 of the family's 1831-position model. The record is from RNAcentral.